UGACCAUCUUCCCUCUGAGUGAUAAGCUUGCCCUGUAUAAACUUGAGAAGGAUCUAGCAAAUCAACCAGACCUCCGUAAGGAACUGGUCAUCACUCUUGGAUUGGCAGGGGGGGCAACAGUAAAAGAAACUGUGUGGCGCAUUUUAAAACAGGCCAUCAAAAAUGACCUUGCUAAGACGAUCUCAUGGCGUGGCCUGAAUGGCAAGGUGCCUUUUGAAAAGCUCCAUCUCAGGGCAGUUGUGACAGAUGCUGUCAGACGUAACCCAAUCUGUCUGGAAGCAACUGAUCUGACCAUUGCUGAUGCUAUUAAAAGGUGGUUCUACUGGGCUGGGGAUCGAGAGGGGGGGAGGAAAAAUCGGAUGCCAGGCUCCAGCCGAGGGCAGCCAGCAGAAUAAUUGUAUC
Long non-coding RNA from Fundulus heteroclitus (mummichog), 402 nucleotides. RefSeq lists it as uncharacterized. The transcript is spliced from 3 exons. The record is from RefSeq and is a predicted model, not a curated record. Lineage: Eukaryota; Metazoa; Chordata; Actinopteri; Cyprinodontiformes; Fundulidae.